RNAcentral lists this small RNA (126 nucleotides) under Marmota monax (woodchuck). The record is from RNAcentral. Lineage: Eukaryota; Metazoa; Chordata; Mammalia; Rodentia; Sciuridae.
UCUGGGCAUGAUGGCUCACACCUGUAAUCCUAGCACUUGGGAGGCUGAGGCAGGAGGAUUGCAAGUUCAAAGUCAGACUUAGCAAUUUAGCAAGGCCCUAAGCAAUUUAGCGAUAUCCUGUCUCUC